CAGUAGCCGCGGUAAUACGAAGGGGGCUAGCGUUGUUCGGAAUUACUGGGCGUAAAGCGCACGUAGGCGGAUAUUUAAGUCAGGGGUGAAAUCCCGCAGCUCAACUGCGGAACUGCCUUUGAUACUGGGUAUCUUGAGUAUGGAAGAGGUUAGUGGAAUUGCGAGUGUAGAGGUGAAAUUCGUAGAUAUUCGCAGGAACACCAGUGGCGAAGGCGGCUAACUGGUCCAUAACUGACGUUGAGGUGCGAAAGCGUGGGGAGCAAACAGGAUUAGAUACCCGAGUAGUCCCUGUCUCUUAUAC
RNAcentral lists this ribosomal RNA (301 nucleotides) under uncultured bacterium. Its description in RNAcentral is "partial 16S ribosomal RNA". It matches the Rfam family "Bacterial small subunit ribosomal RNA", at positions 509 to 807 of the family's 1533-position model. The record is from RNAcentral.